AGUAUUUUCAUGGCACCGGAUCCAAUCCUUCCUCUUCAGUCAAAAGCGCUUUUAUCGUAGUUGUCACUAGCAACAGAAACCAUGGUCUUUAAUCAAUCCUUCCAACACUGCUGUGUGGGAAGGGAUGUUGCGUCAGGGAAGCCUGUUGAUUGCUUACUCCUUAUGGACAUAUGUGAUGCUGUUAAAUGGACAUGCUGGAAUCAGGUGCCCUGCCUCUCAGAAGAUAGCUUCAUAAUCCGAAUGUGGAUUUUUAAUGCUCAGUUUCUGCCCUACUACUCAAAUAAGGUAAUGUGUGCCUGCUCUCAGAGACAUAACCACUUGCUAUUUGCCUGAUAUGCAAAGAUAGACUGUAUGUGCAGGGUAUCUCCACUUUAUGUUCAGCAUCUGCGUCAGCAGUGAUAAAUAUUUCUGUCUUUGCCUAGGAAGUUCAGUGAACCCAAAUUCAGAGGCUGUGAUCCCUGGCUGAGCACAAGUGAAAGUUAAUGUGCUGGUUUCUUU
RNAcentral lists this long non-coding RNA (498 nucleotides) under Anser cygnoides (Swan goose). RNAcentral describes it as "lncRNA (ENSACDG00005012779.1)". Lineage: Eukaryota; Metazoa; Chordata; Aves; Anseriformes; Anatidae. The record is from RNAcentral.